Non-coding RNA from Phascolarctos cinereus (koala), 910 nucleotides. Lineage: Eukaryota; Metazoa; Chordata; Mammalia; Diprotodontia; Phascolarctidae. The record is from RefSeq and is a predicted model, not a curated record.
ACAUCAAUCUCAUUAUCAAUGUGUACAUCCCUACCAAGAGAUGGACAAUGGAGGCAUCCCUGAACUUCUGGAGGAUAACCUCCUUUUGUCAUAUAAUCCAGAAAAUUUCAGUCAGCUUUUGUAUGAGAAGCGGGCCCCCUGCCUUAUAAAUCUCAGCUGGAAUAGAAUCAGCACCAGGUCCUUUGCCACAUGACAGGAGCUUAAUGGCAUUCAAAACCUCUUCUUCAGUUGGAAGUUCAGCUAGAGAGGGAUUGACUUCAACCUGAGAACUUAUGCCAGUUUCACAGAGCUCCCCAUCACUUCAGCCACUCCAGAAAAAAUGUGUAUCCAGCUCCAGCUUCAGUAAGCUGGCCUUCACUUGCCAGUUUUGCUUCACUUAGGGCUGCCAUUUGGAUGCAACACAUGCUGAGUCUUCUCAAAACAAGAGCUGUUCAUCUUUUGGGUCUACUGGAUUUUUAUAAAUGUACACACAUUCCAUGCACCAAUGAGGAGCAGGACAAUAGAGUUACAUACCAACCAGCCAAUUAGAAGGGUUUCUGAGGCUCAGAGCUGCUUGACAUACCAAUGAUCUUUUGCAAGUGAAUUCUAGCUGAAUUUGGAGAUGCCUGUAUCUGCCAGAAACCACAGAACCAGCCUUGACCAGCUCAAGGGUAACCUUGAACAGAAGCUGCAGACUCACGACCUUGCUCGGGACUUUCUAAACAUCCUGGUCCCUAGCUUAUUGUGAUUAUAGAUGUCUUCUCCCUUAACCCCUGCUCUCCACCCAAAAGCCUCUAGAAACUAUAUUGUCUCACCCUUUUUCCACUCCCCUUUGAGCAGCUGAGAACUCUCUCUCCCUCUCUGCUUCCCUGCAGGAUCUUCUAUCGCCUGCAAGCUUUUCUCACACAAUAAACACUUUGUAAUCUGUUAA